AAAUCUUCUUGGGCUAAAAUCACUUGAGUCAAGCACCCCUAUCGUAAGCUCUUUAGUUAAAAGAUUCAUCACUUUUUCUAAAAUCUUCUCAUCAAUACCAAUUAUGCACCCUUAUACUACGCUCGAUCUAUUCCUUGGGUCAUAGUUUACAAUGUAUUCUUCUACCAAUGCUAUAUUAAUUAAUGGCAAGCUAUCUGAUUUUUGCAAAAAAUAAAAUAUUUAUAUAUUUUAAAAAUCUCAUAUUUUUCUUGGCAUCUAGCAGAUCUCUAAUUUCAUAGGCUCCAUAUUGGUAAUGAUUACUAUGGAUGGUGGUCCCAAAUUACAUUUAGCUUUCACAUUUUGAUUACUUUCUUCUUUAUCCAUACCUAUCUUUGUACUCUCAAUCGCCACAACGCACACUCUUUCAAGCUCUAAUCAUCAAUGCUACUCUCCAGUAUUCUUAAAACACAAGAAAUUGUAACAUAGAAAA
This 469-nucleotide long non-coding RNA is filed under the name Physcomitrium patens. RNAcentral's name for it is "long non-coding RNA (PPAT_LNC014097)". The record is from RNAcentral. Lineage: Eukaryota; Viridiplantae; Streptophyta; Bryopsida; Funariales; Funariaceae.